This 1827-nucleotide ribosomal RNA is filed under the name Perittonannus antiquus. RNAcentral's name for it is "SSU rRNA". It matches the Rfam family "Eukaryotic small subunit ribosomal RNA". Lineage: Eukaryota; Metazoa; Arthropoda; Insecta; Hemiptera; Schizopteridae. The record is from RNAcentral.
GUAGUUAUAUGCUUGUCUCAAAGCUUAAGCCAUGCAAGUUUAAGUACAAACUAAACUAAAGUAAAACCGCAAAAUGCUCAUUAAAUCAGUUAUAGUUCACUAGAGCAAAUACUUUAAAUGGAUAACUGUGGUAAUUCUAGAGCUAAUACAUGCAAUUAAGUCUUAACCUUUAAUGGAAAAGACGCUUUUAUUAGAUCAAAACCAAUCGUUCAGCCUAGCUGUUUCGUUUGACUUUUGAUGACUCUGAAUAACACUACAGAUCGCAUUGUCUAAGCACUAGUGACAUAUCUUUCAAAUGCCUGACUUAUCAACUGUCGAUGGUAGAAUAUAUGUCUACCAUGGUUAUAACGGGUAACGGGGAAUCAGGGUUCGAUUCCGGAGAGGGAGCCUGAGAAACAGCUACCACAUCCAAGGAAGGACUCCCGGCACGGGGAGGUAGUGACAAAAAAUAACGAUACGAGUCUCAUCCGAGGCCUCGUAAUCGGAAUGAGUACACUUUAAAUCCUUUAACAAGGAUCUAUUAGAGGAAAAGUCUGGUGCCAGCCCCCGCGGUAAUUCCAGCUCUAAUAGCGUAUAUUAAAGCUGUUGCGGUUAAAAAGCUCGUAGUUGGUUCUGUGUGCCACACUGUUGGUUCACCGCCUGUCGGUGUAACUGACAUGUCGUGGGAUGUCCUGUCGGUGGUAAUUUGGGGUCUAUAUGUUUAGUUUAGGGAUUCCUAUCUAAACUAUAGUUACUUUCUAAUUACCGAUAUAUUCCCGCCGCGGUGCUCUUUACUGAGUGUCGAGGAGGGCCGACACGUUUACUUUGAACAAAUUAGAGUGCUCAAAGCAGGCAAAAAUCUGCCCAAAUAGUAGUGCAUGGAAUAAUAGAAUAAGAUUUUGGCUCUAUUUUGUUGGUUUUAAGAGACCAAGGUAAUGAUCAAUAUGGACAGGCGGGGGCAUUCGUAUUGCGACGUUAGAGGUGAAAUUCUUGGAUCGUCGCAAGACGAACAAAAGCGAAAGCAUUUGCCAAGUAUGUCUUAAUUGAUCAAGAACGAAAGUUAGAGGCUCGAAGGCGAUCAGAUACCGCCCUAGUUCUAACCAUAAACGAUGCCAGCUUGCGAUCCGUCGUCGUUUCUUUCAUGACUCGACGGGCAGCAUCCGGGAAACCAAAGCUUUUGGGCUCCGGGGGAAGUAUGGUUGCAAAGCUGAAACUUAAAGGAAUUGACGGAAGGGCACCACAAGCAGUGGGGCAUGCGGCUUAAUUUGACUCAACACGGCACAACUUACUAGGCCCGGACAUUGGAAGGAUUGACAGAUCAAUAGCUCUUUCUUGAUUCAAUGGGAUGUGGUGCGUUGGUGAGGUGACUUGUCAGGUUAAUUCCGAUAACGAACGAGACUCUAGCCUACUAACUAGACGUCCGGUAUAUCCUCUACCGGCGGCUAGUCUCUUCUUAGAGGGACGGGUAGCUUCACGCUGCACGAGAUUGAGCAAUAACAGGUCAGUGAUGCCCUUAGAUGUUCUGGGCCGCACGCGCGCCACAAUGAAGGAAUCAGCGUGUCUCUCCUUGGCCGAAAGGUCCGGGUAACCCGUUGAACCUCCUUCGUGCUUGGAAUUGGGGCUUGUAAUUAUUCCCCAUGAACGAGGAAUUCCUAGUAAGCGUGAGUCAUAAGCUCGCGUUGAUUACGUCCCUGCCCUUUGUACACACCGCCCGUCGCUACUACCGAUUGAAUGAUUUAGUGAGGUCUUUGGACUAGUAAUAAAGCGAAUGUUGCCUUUGGUAAUUUCGAUAUUACAGGAAAGAUGACCAAACUUGAUCAUUUAGAGAUAGUAAAAGUCGUAACAAGG